CCUACGGGAGGCAGCAGUGAGGAAUAUUGGUCAAUGGACGAGAGUCUGAACCAGCCAAGUAGCGUGAAGGAUGACUGCCCUAUGGGUUGUAAACUUCUUUUAUAAAGGAAUAAAACGAGGCACGUGUGCCUUUUUGCAUGUACUUUAUGAAUAAGGAUCGGCUAAAUCCGUGCCAGCAGCCGCGGGAAUACGGAGGAUCCGAGCGUUAUCCGGAUUUAGUGGGUUGAAAGGGAGCGUAGAUGGGUUGUUAAGUCAGUUGUGAAAGUUUGCGGCUCAACCGUAAAAUUGCAAUUGAUACUGGCAGUCUUGAGUACAGUUGAGGUAGGCGGAAUUCGUGGUGUAGCGGUGAAAUGCUUAGAUAUCACGAAGAACCCCGAUUGCGAAGGCAGCUUACUAAACUGUGACUGACAUUGAUGCUCGAAAGUGUGGGUAUCAAACAGGAUUAGAUACCCGGGUAGUC
This 460-nucleotide ribosomal RNA is filed under the name uncultured bacterium. RNAcentral describes it as "partial 16S ribosomal RNA". It matches the Rfam family "Bacterial small subunit ribosomal RNA", at positions 338 to 795 of the family's 1533-position model. The record is from RNAcentral.